UGUACGCAUGCUGACUAAGUCGCUUUGGAUAAAAGCGUUUGCUAAAUGGCAUAUA
Non-coding RNA from Salmo salar (Atlantic salmon), 55 nucleotides. The record is from Rfam. Lineage: Eukaryota; Metazoa; Chordata; Actinopteri; Salmoniformes; Salmonidae.